GACCGAUGAGGAGAACACAUUCCAUUUCAGUACCGACCACGCAGCAAUCACAGUUUUCAGGAUUUAGCUAUCGAUGGAACACAUCCACACCGUAUUGCAUGGCAAAGGAAAUCCCUUGCUCAGCGUCUCCUCCACGCAGCCAGCCCGACCCGGUGCAGUGCAUCUGAACUGAGUCUGGUGUUCGUGGUUCCCUUGCUCUCAGCGUCUCCUCCACCAGCUCACCGCCAUGGCCACCGCGCGCGCAGUUACCGCGUCCAUGAGGCUCACCUGCGCGCUCAGCACCUUAGCCAUCCUCGCCGCAAUCCUCUUCAUGUUCCUCCUGCUGCUCGCUGGUGCCUUGCAGCUGCGUGUCCCGACCGGCUACGCGGUGGUCGACUGCGCCCCGCCCCCGCCCUCGGACGACAGCGCUGCUGCCUUCCUCGACAGCCUCCUGCCGCUCCUGGCCGCGCUGCCCGCAGCUGCCGCGCCGACGGGGUUCGCGGCCCUUCAUUCCGACGGCGCGGCGUUCGCCCGCGGCAUCUGCCUGGGCGGCUCCGCGCCCAAGGAGUGCCUCGCGUGCCUCUCCGCCGCCGCCAAGAACCUCACCGGCUGCGGCGCGAGCAGGCGCGCCGGCGUCUGGAGGGGCGAGGGCUGCUUCAUGGCUUACGCCGACGGCAACGUUUCCUCUCCGCACGAAGACGUCUUCCGCGGCGUCGUCGCCUUCGGCGAAGACGUCUUCCCCGUCGUCAUCUCCUUCGACGACGGCAGGCCGCCCUCCAACCCCAAGUGCUUCGACACGCGGGCGCUCGUCGCGCUCGCGCAGUCCCUGGCGGGGCGCGGCGCGGCCAACAGCUCGGGGGCGCGCGUCGUCACCGACGCGGCCACGCUCUCGAGCAACGCCACUGGGAAGACCGCGGUGACGCUGCGGGCGCAGUGCGCGAGGGACCGCGCGGCGGCGGCGGAGUGCGCCCGGUGCCUGGGGGACUCGGCGCGAGAGGUGCGUGCGUGCGACUGGGGCCUUGACGGCGAGCACGUGCGUGUGGCCGACGUGGUCGGCUACAACUGCUUCCUACGGAUCGAGACCUCAGUUCCGACGGGCUGGCCCGUGCCCGUGGAAAUAUAUGAAGGAUCCCGUCCUGAUCACCUUGUGCGCCGGCAUGCUGCUGGCAGCCCUCGCCGCGGUAAUCGCCUGCGUCGAUGGGAGAAAGAACAGGGGCACCAGGAACGCGUAGCUGCUGCUGCUGCAGCAGCAGCAGCAUCAGGUCAGCAAGUGAACGCUGCUGCAAACUGAGGGAGAUGGAGUCACCGGACACCACCACCUUUGUAGUCAUACGACCACCCCGCCCUGCUGCUGCUCUGCUUCACCGCGUGCGCGCGGAUGAGACCGAUCGUCGUCGAUGCUCUCGUAGCUGGUACUAGCUGGGGUAGUAGUAGCGUGGCCACUGCGUUGGCUGUCGUAUGGGGCGAUAUGAACCCUAUGUAAUUACUGAUCCGUCGGUUUUCACCCGGUUUUCCGUUAAUUAACCGGGCAAUUCUCUUCUUUUUAAUUAAUAGAUGAGGCAAAUCUUUUGCCUCCGUUUAGAAAAAAAUUACCGAUCCACAACUCUAUAUCUUAGAUUAGUUU
Molecule: ribosomal RNA, 1603 nt
Filed under: Triticum aestivum (bread wheat)
Lineage: Eukaryota; Viridiplantae; Streptophyta; Magnoliopsida; Poales; Poaceae
Description: partial small subunit ribosomal RNA
Source: RNAcentral